RNAcentral lists this ribosomal RNA (465 nucleotides) under uncultured Pseudoxanthomonas sp. RNAcentral describes it as "bacterial SSU rRNA". It matches the Rfam family "Bacterial small subunit ribosomal RNA", at positions 338 to 795 of the family's 1533-position model. Lineage: Bacteria; Pseudomonadati; Pseudomonadota; Gammaproteobacteria; Lysobacterales; Lysobacteraceae. The record is from RNAcentral.
CCUACGGGGGGCUGCAGUGGGGAAUAUUGGACAAUGGGCGCAAGCCUGAUCCAGCCAUACCGCGUGAGUGAAGAAGGCCCUCGGGUUGUAAAGCUCUUUUGUUGGGAAAGAAAUCCUGUUGGUUAAUACCUGGCAGGGAUGACGGUACCCAAAGAAUAAGCACCGGCUAACUUCGUGCCAGCAGCCGCGGUAAUACGAAGGGUGCAAGCGUUACUCGGAAUUACUGGGCGUAAAGCGUGCGUAGGUGGUUGUUUAAGUCUGUCGUGAAAGCCCUGGGCUCAACCUGGGAAUUGCGAUGGAUACUGGGCGACUAGAAUGUGGUAGAGGGUGGCGGAAUUCCCGGUGUAGCAGUGAAAUGCGUAGAGAUCGGGAGGAACAUCCGUGGCGAAGGCGGCCACCUGGACCAACAUUGACACUGAGGCACGAAAGCGUGGGGAGCAAACAGGAUUAGAUACCCCUGUAGUC